AACAACAAAAACCAGCAGUCCAGCCACAGCUACCAUAACCGCCACAACCACACACACACCACAACCUGCAAAGCACAAGUUCAACCACUGAACCACCACAACCACCACUGAAUCUCUGCACCACAACCGCCACAGCAACAGCUACAACCGUGAUCAACAACAUCAUCAACAACAACGAUAUCAACAACAACAACAACCAGCACCGUGAACCACCACGGCCACCAUAACCGCCACAACCACCACACACCACAACCUGCAAACCACAACAAACCACUGAACCACCAGGACCACCAUAAUCUCUGCACCACAACCACCGCAGCAACAGCAACACCGUGAGCAACAGCAACAUCAUCAACAACAACCAGCACAACCACCACGGCCACCAUAAGCGCCACAACCACCACACACCACAACCUGCAAACCACAACAAACCACUGAACCACCAGGACCACCAGAAUCUCUGCACCACAACCACCACAGCAACAGCAACACCAUAAUGAAGUCAAAAGGGACAACAGUGAGUCAUAUCCGCGACGGGAGAAGGUUUUGCCGAAGGAGAAAAAUGAUGAGCAAGACCCGUAGACGUAUCAAGGAAUCAGCCGUCGUUUCGGACUUAUACCAGACAUGGAAUCGACGGUACACCGCAUUCUAAUGUCCAUUUGAAAUUUCUUAGAAUUAGUUUGGAAUUUAAGUUUCAUUUUGUUCCUAUUUUCGGUUCCGUUUUUGCUUCGUUCCUUUUAACCUUUUUUCCAAGUUUGAGUUAAUCACGAAUAUUAAUGAUUCAAAUUUUGUGGUUUCAAUUUCAUUAUUUUUGGGCAAUUCCACGGAGAAGCGGAUACGGCUGAAAAGUGGAUAAUUUAUUAAAUCUUUGGAACUGCAAGCAUCACAAUCUCGAAUGUGUUAUCAAAUACAAGGAGACAAAAAAAUACCUUUCGUUUACGUUAUUUGCCAGUGAGAUUUAAAAUGAUUACCCAUGUUUUUGGUAAAAAACAAACAUUGUUAUUGGCUUUUAGUUUGAGCAAAAUUACGGAUUUUUGGCAGCUUGUAUUAACAUGCAGCACACAUGUGUUAUUGUGAUUUUUUUUUAAGGCAGAGUAAAGGUUCUUAUUGUUUGCCAAAAGAGCUAUUUUGUUUAAUAAAUGUUACUUAUUAUGUUUUUACUUAAAUCAAAGAUGGGCGGACAAACCGUAACGUAUAACGAGCUGUGCCGUAACCACUGUAAUUACAGAAAUACUAUAUUUUAUUUCAGAUGUAUCCCAUAGGAAGCUUUCUAUUCAAAGACAUGCAUUUUUUAUCCCUGUCUUUUUCUGUAACGUAACUCACCAAGUUACAUGUCUCAUUACAACUCACCAAACUUGCUCCGCAUGGCUGUGUUAUAAGUCCUGGUGAGAUGUAUUCAUGGUAGGCAUACAUGUUGACAUAGGAGCCUAAAGAGCGUUGCUUCAUCUCUUAAACUAACGAAACUCACCGUGGAAUUGACCAUCUUGUUCCUAUUUUCAUUUUCGUUUUUGUUCCUUUAAGCUUCUUUGUUCCAAAUUCGAGUUAACCAAGAAUAUUUACUAAUUUGAAUUCUGAAGAAAUGACGCCCACAAAUAUGGGAAAGAUGGUACAAUAAAGGACAUGUCUUUACCAAAGCCCAUCUUAGGAAAAGAGUUUGCACUGAACGGAACCCUUUGUUAUAUAACCAUCGGGCUGUCAAAACAAGAAUCAAGUCAAGUAUAACAGUAAUGCUCUAUAAUCCUCUGUUCCCAAACCUCGCUCCGAAUCAGCCAAUAAUAUAAACAUCUGGGGAGACUAUUAAGAAAUGCUAGAAUUGAAUACAAAAAUAUAUUCCGUCUUUUCGAAAUUGAUAAAGUCAUGAAAAUAAUUCCAUCCAAAAAUAAGAUUAAACAACAGAUAAUACCGAUCCUUUUAUGAGAAAAACAUAGUUUAAGUUCUGGACUAAAAUAUGCACUUAGAUAUGGCCUAUAUCAUUAUGUCAAAAGCUUCAACUAUAAAAGACAGCCGUUUAUAGCGAAACAAAUAAACUGUAAACUGCAAAAACUGCAGUGUUAAAUUUACACUAUUGGUAUCUAUAUAGGACCAUCUGGUGUUAAAUCUUACUGGUGUUGUCCUAUAUAGAUACCGAAUGGUGUUAAAUUAACACUACAGUUUUUUUAGUGUACACCGUCUGAGGGUCUUGUUGAACAUUGGCAAUCUUAGACAUGUGCGACCGAUGUAUGGUUCAGUCGUGUCAUAACUCACAGCCUUAUUCUUGAAUAAGCGAUCUCCCCGGGGUAAAAUCUAUGACACCUAAUGUUUUUUGUUUUUUUUAAUUGGUUCACAAAAUAAUGCCUUGCUGCACAAAUUGCAAUUGAUUCCCUGGUCGUUUAGAGGCAAAACAAACGUGAGGGAUUCCAUAAUUCCAGCCCAAAAUACCGUUAGAAAUAACAUCACAACAUCGUAGAAGAGCUUGAACUGAGCAGCGAUUUGGAUAAACUAAAAAAAUCCGAAAAGCAAAGCUCAUAAAGAAAUACAAGGACACGGUUUGCGACGUAUUUCCCCUUUAUUUCAGGCAAGUUUAUGUUCAUAAUUUGUUGUUGUUUUCGUUUCGUUUUCUCCAUUAUGAAAGAAAUUCUCUAAUUUUUUUCCUUUGGUAAAAUA
Long non-coding RNA from Patiria miniata (bat star), 2643 nucleotides. RefSeq lists it as uncharacterized. The transcript has 3 exons. The record is from RefSeq and is a predicted model, not a curated record. NCBI's taxonomy places the organism in Eukaryota, Metazoa, Echinodermata, Asteroidea, Valvatida, Asterinidae.